GAUGAACGCUGGCGGCGUGCCUAAUACAUGCAAGUCGAGCGAACAGACGAGGAGCUUGCUCCUCUGACGUUAGCGGCGGACGGGUGAGUAACACGUGGAUAACCUACCUAUAAGACUGGGAUAACUUCGGGAAGCCGGAGCUAAUACCGGAUAAUAUAUUGAACCGCAUGGUUCAAUAGUGAAAGACGGUUUUGCUGUCACUUAUAGAUGGAUCCGCGCCGCAUUAGCUAGUUGGUAAGGUAACGGCUUACCAAGGCAACGAUGCGUAGCCGACCUGAGAGGGUGAUCGGCCACACUGGAACUGAGACACGGUCCAGACUCCUACGGGAGGCAGCAGUAGGGAAUCUUCCGCAAUGGGCGAAAGCUUGACGGAGCAACGCCGCGUGAGUGAUGAAGGUCUUCGGAUCGUAAAACUCUGUUAUUAGGGAAGAACAAAUGUGUAAGUAACUAUGCACGUCUGGACGGUACCUAAGCAGAAAGCCACGGCUAACUACGU
RNAcentral lists this ribosomal RNA (496 nucleotides) under uncultured bacterium. RNAcentral's name for it is "partial 16S ribosomal RNA". It matches the Rfam family "Bacterial small subunit ribosomal RNA", at positions 28 to 506 of the family's 1533-position model. The record is from RNAcentral.